This 125-nucleotide small RNA is filed under the name Marmota monax (woodchuck). The record is from RNAcentral. Lineage: Eukaryota; Metazoa; Chordata; Mammalia; Rodentia; Sciuridae.
GCCGGGCGUGGUGGCGCACACCUGUAAUCCCAGUGACUAGGGAAACUGAGGCAGGAGGAUUGCGAGUUCAAAGCCAGCUUCAGCAAAAGUGAGGUGCUAAGCAACUCCAUGAGACCCUGUCUCUA